Molecule: ribosomal RNA, 587 nt
Filed under: uncultured bacterium
Lineage: Bacteria
Description: bacterial SSU rRNA
Rfam family: Bacterial small subunit ribosomal RNA
Source: RNAcentral
CCUACGGGAGGCAGCAGUGAGGAAUUUUCCGCAAUGGGCGAAAGCCUGACGGAGCAAUACCGCGUGAGGGAUGAAGGAUUUUGGUCUGUAAACCUCUUUUCUCAAGAAAGAAGUUCUGACGGUACUUGAGGAAUAAGCAUCGGCUAACUCCGUGCCAGCAGCCGCGGUAAUACGGGGGAUGCAAGCGUUAUCCGGAAUGAUUGGGCGUAAAGCGCCUGUAGGUUGUUUAUUAAGUCCGUUGUUAAAGCCUAGGGCUCAACCCUAGAAAAGCAAUGGAAACUAGUAGACUAGAGUAUGGCAGGGGUAGAGGGAAUUUCUAGUGUAGCGGUGAAAUGCGUAGAUAUUAGAAAGAACACCGGUGGCGAAAGCGCUCUACUGGACCAUUACUGACACUCAGAGGCGAAAGCUAGGGUAGCAAAAGGGAUUAGAUACCCCUGUAGUCCUAGCCGUAAACGAUGGAUACUAGAUGUUGUGCAUUAUGUACAGUAUCGUAGCUAACGCGUUAAGUAUCCCGCCUGGGGAGUACGCUCGCAAGGGUGAAACUCAAAGGAUUGACGGNNGAGAGNGCGAGACGACGACGAGGAGAG